RNAcentral lists this ribosomal RNA (539 nucleotides) under uncultured bacterium. Its description in RNAcentral is "bacterial SSU rRNA". It matches the Rfam family "Bacterial small subunit ribosomal RNA", at positions 356 to 896 of the family's 1533-position model. The record is from RNAcentral.
GAGGAAUAUUGGUCAAUGGGCGCAAGCCUGAACCAGCCAAGUAGCGUGCAGGAAGACGGCCCUAUGGGUUGUAAACUGCUUUUAUACGAGAAUAAUUUGAUGCACGUGUGCGUUAUUGCAUGUAUCGUAUGAAUAAGGACCGGCUAAUUCCGUGCCAGCAGCCGCGGUAAUACGGAAGGUCCAGGCGUUAUCCGGAUUUAUUGGGUUUAAGGGGAGUGUAGGCGGUUUGUUAAGCGUGUUGUGAAAUUUAGGUGCUCAACAUUUAACUUGCAGUGCGAACUGUCAGACUUGAGUACACGCAACGUAUGCGGAAUUCAUGGUGUAGCGGUGAAAUGCUUAGAUAUCAUGAAGAACUCCGAUUGCGAAGGCAGCAUACGGGAGUGUAACUGACGCUUAAGCUCGAAGGUGCGGGUAUCGAACAGGAUUAGAUACCCUGGUAGUCCGCACAGUAAACGAUGGAUGCCCGCUGUUAGCGCCUGGCGUUAGCGGCUAAGCGAAAGCAUUAAGCAUCCCACCUGGGGAGUACGCCGGCAACGGUG